This 780-nucleotide long non-coding RNA is filed under the name Mytilus galloprovincialis (Mediterranean mussel). The record is from RNAcentral. Lineage: Eukaryota; Metazoa; Mollusca; Bivalvia; Mytilida; Mytilidae.
AAUACAACAGAUUCAUUUAAGUCUGCCUCAUAUCUUGACUUACAUCUAGAAAUUGACAAUGAUGGUCCGUUGAAAACAAAACUUUACGACAAAAGAGAUGAUUUCAGUUUCCCAAUUGUGAACUUUCCAUUUCUAUGUAGCUUCAUUCCAGCAGCGCCUGCAUACGGAGUAUAUAUCUCCCAAUUGAUACGAUAUUCCCGGGCUUGUAUUUCCUAUCAUGAUUUCCUCGAUAGAGGGUUGCUGCUCACAAGGGAGCUAUUAAACCAAGAGUUCCAAAUGGUGAAGUUGAAAUCAUCAAUUCGUAAAUUUUAUGGACGCCAUCACGAGUUGGUUGACUGUUAUGGAACAACCGUUUCACAGAUGAUAUCGGAUAUGUUCCUUAUGUCGUAACUACAGCCAACUUCUCUUUUCACCACGAAUGUGACCUACCAAAUUAGACUAUUUACCGGGUUUGUAAUAACAUGAGCAACACGACGGGUGCCACAUGUGGAGCAGGAUCUGCUUAUCCUUCCGGAGCACCUGAGAUCACCCCAGUGUUGGUGGGUUUCGUGUUGCUUAGUCUUUAGUUUUCUUUGUUUUGUCUUUUGUACUAUUAUGUGUAUGUUUGUCUUUUUAUUUUUUAGCCAUGGCGUUGUCAGUUUAUUUUUGAUUUAUGAGUUUGACUGUUCCUCUGGUAUCUUCGACACUCUUUCAUUUCAGUUUCUAGGUAUACAUGCAUCAUGUAUGUAUUGAACAAAAAUGAUUAAUGAUGAUCUUUCAGUUCAUCAACUUUCUUGUGCG